UAGGGAAUCUUCCGCAAUGGACGCAAGUCUGACGGAGCAACGCCGCGUGAGUGAUGAAGGAUUUCGGUUCGUAAAACUCUGUUGUUAGAGAAGAACAGCGCAUAGAGUAACUGUUAUGCGUGUGACGGUAUCUAACCAGAAAGCCACGGCUAACUACGUGCCAGCAGCCGCGGUAAUACGUAGGUGGCAAGCGUUGUCCGGAUUUAUUGGGCGUAAAGCGAGCGCAGGCGGUCAAUUAAGUCUGAUGUGAAAGCCCCCGGCUCAACCGGGGAGGGUCCUUGGAAACUGGUUGACUUGAGUGCAGAAGAGGAGAGUUGAAUUCCAUGUGUAGCAGUGAAAUGCGUAGAUAUAUGGAGGAACACCAAUGGCGAAGGCGACCCUCUGGGCUGUAACUGACGCUGAGGCUCGAAAGCGUGGGUAGCAAACAGG
This 429-nucleotide ribosomal RNA is filed under the name Bacteroidota bacterium. Its description in RNAcentral is "Bacteroidetes bacterium partial 16S ribosomal RNA". It matches the Rfam family "Bacterial small subunit ribosomal RNA", at positions 355 to 776 of the family's 1533-position model. Lineage: Bacteria; Pseudomonadati; Bacteroidota. The record is from RNAcentral.